GAAGAAGAACACGAUCUGCACCCGCCGCCCACAGUCAGGGAAAUGUUGAAGCCGCUAGUAAACACUAAAGAGUAACCUUCUUUUUCUUUGUUCAGUGAGAGCGCGGGAAAAAGCAGAAGACAAGAAUCGGUGCUAGUUUGAUUUCACCUGACAACCUGGCCAGCACCAAUAGACUCUCCCAUGACAAUAAGCCAUACCUCUCCGGCUAAUAGGAAGUAGAUUCUGCCUGCCAAUGAAGCAGGGCUGUGUUCAGUUCAUUAAACGUUUUACUACGUGCCUGAACGACACACUUCUCCCCAACUGUUCUUUGAGGGGUCUUUGCUCCUGUUUGGUGGUUGUGGCGAUGUGUUGCCCGACCGUUGAGAACAGCACAGUUUUCCGUUCAAUCAAAAGUUGCAUGCCGUUGUGUCCUGCUGAACACAGCCAUAACUUGAGUCUCCAGGAGGAAAGCAACUUAGGCCAACAACAGCCAACCACCCCAGAGAGGAAUGGCGAAGGAGUUUCUGCUGGAGAAUAAACCGCUCCUAACAGAGAUUCUGUCAGCGGAACCCGACAAUAUUCUCCAGUACGCCCAUUCAAAUAAACUUGUGGAGCAGCGUGGCUACAACAUCCUCUCCCACCUGCAAUCCAGUCAGCCUCCAGAGACUACAGUCAUCAAGCUACUGGACAUGCUGAGAGAGAGAGGAGAGAAGUACUGCCAUGGUUUUGUGGCCCUCCUACAUAAGCAAGAGAUCAUCGCAAACUUCCCCAGACUCAAAGAGCUGGACUGGACCACCUUCAAAGACUCUAGUGCCCCUGACCCAUCCCCAGUCCCACCAAGCAUCAGAGCAGGUACAGCCCUGCCCAUCUAAUCUAGUCUAGAAUGUUGCUGACUGUUGUGAAGCUUAUUGUGCCAACAUGGCACCUAUUAAAAUUCCUAAUCUCAAACGGAGUAUCCCUGACUCUGAAUAUCUAGGUUAUGCAUGUCUAUAGAUGUAUUUCCUUUCAAAUGCUGCAUUUUGUCCCUCCAAUCGGCUCCAUAAUGGGGAAUUUGCAGGAAGUAAUCAAGGCCUGCGGCUACAUCCACAAUGUCUCAGCAGUGAAGAGAGGGAAGAAGACAGGCUAUUUCAAUGCCGUUUUACAGCAAGAAGAUGAGAGCAGGAAUCUGAUCGUUUUUCAGCCGCAGCUGCGAGAGCGCUUUGCCACAGCAGAGAGUCGCAGGUAAGUUGGGUAUGAAGGGCUCUGCAAAGGCUUUGAGUGCUAUGUGAUGAGGAAUAUCUGUUAUUCAUCUUUUAUAAUGCAUGUUUUUUCAGAACUCCAGUGAAGUUGGUGAAAGUGGUGCUCCGGCCAUCCAUAAGCAGAAACAACAAGAUGCAGAUAAAUGUUUACAUACACAUCCACAUUUUCCAUCCUCUAAGAUUUACCCUUCAAAUUCAACAGCGACCUUGACGGGAGGGUCAAGGAUGUGGCGCUAGCCGACCUUCAAGAGGACAAAGAAAACACAGAAAAUGCUGUAAAACAGAAGGUGAACGUUACAGUGGAGGUGAUUCAGAAACUGAAAGAGGGCCAUUGUAAAACGAGAUUUAACAAAAGCAUGCCCAUGGUGGAAUACCUAGUCGGUCAUAUUGUAGAUGAUUCAACAACACUCACAAACCUGACCGUGUGGGGUCGUGAAGAGGGGAAAUGGUACCGGGUCACCAAUGUUUCUGUUGCUAAGUAUGGGGGUAAAACCGUGCUGAACACAACACCAGAAUCUACUCUGGUCAACGUGGCCAGUGGUAGGAAAUGCGAUCUGCCACACAACAUGGUACAGCCUGAGAAGUUUGAGGGGAAAACAUUGGAUACUGGUUGUCCCAAGAGUACACUUGCCCAGAAGCGCACCACCUGGAGAGGGUGGACACCACUGAAAAGAUGGUGACUUGUAAGCAUUGCCCUAUGUCGUACAUACUAUCCCUGAUGGGAAGGAUAACUAGAGGGAAGCUCUCCAUACAAUCUGAUGAUCUGGUCAGCCGGGUGUUCACUGUAGAGGACCAUGUCAUCAGAAAUGUUCUGCGAGGAAGGUGGGAGGGGAGAGAGUCUCUGAAGGACAUUCAGGACGCGCUGGUCGAACUGCCACCAGUGACAGUUACUGUUCUCAAUGGUCAUGUGUCAACCGUUACAACUCAGAGUCAGGAUGUCACCACACAGGAUGAGAAGAGGAAUAUUACUGCGCAACAGCGCGUUUAGUCUGGACUGAUGGUUUCAUUUUGAUCUAACCUUGAUCUAACUAGGCAAGUCAGUUAAGAACAAAUUCUUAUUUACAAUGACGGCCUACCAGAAGGCAAAAGUUCUCCUGGGGGACGGGGAUUAAAAUAAAGACAUAGGGGCGUGGUUCCUUUACUCAUUUUGAUAUCACCUGGGCCACUGCUUCAAUAUGUCUUAGAUGAAAAACGGCAAGCUGAAAAUGUAAAUAGAUUGAUAAUAAAAAAUACUUUUAAAAUGUUUCUUUUUAUAAUGUGUCAGUAUGUCUGGUACUUUUAUAUGUCCAGGUAAAAGCUCAUUUUGUAUUUCAUUUUGACAUUUGUUUAAA
Oncorhynchus mykiss (rainbow trout) is the source of this 2548-nucleotide non-coding RNA. The record is from RefSeq and is a predicted model, not a curated record. Lineage: Eukaryota; Metazoa; Chordata; Actinopteri; Salmoniformes; Salmonidae.